ACGAACGCUGGCGGCGUGCCUAAUCCAUGCAAGUAGAACGCUGAAGAGAGGAGCUUCCUCUUCUUGGAUGAGUUGCGAACGGGUGAGUAACGCGUAGGUAACCUGCCUUGUAGCGGGGGAUAACUAUUGGAAACGAUAGCUAAUACCGCAUAACAAUGGAUGACACAUGUCAUUUAUUUGAAAGGGGCAAUUGCUCCACUACAAGAUGGACCUGCGUUGUAUUAGCUAGUAGGUGAGGUAAUGGCUCACCUAGGCGACGAUACAUAGCCGACCUGAGAGGGUGAUCGGCCACACUGGGACUGAGACACGGCCCAGACUCCUACGGGAGGCAGCAGUAGGGAAUCUUCGGCAAUGGGGGCAACCCUGACCGAGCAACGCCGCGUGAGUGAAGAAGGUUUUCGGAUCGUAAAGCUCUGUUGUAAGUCAAGAACGGGUGUGAGAGUGGAAAGUUCACACUGUGACGGUAGCUUACCAGAAAGGGACGGCUAACUACGUG
This 496-nucleotide ribosomal RNA is filed under the name uncultured bacterium. RNAcentral's name for it is "partial 16S ribosomal RNA". It matches the Rfam family "Bacterial small subunit ribosomal RNA", at positions 29 to 507 of the family's 1533-position model. The record is from RNAcentral.